GCAUGCAAAACGGUGAUGUAGUGGUAGCUUGCCCCCUUCCUCCCGGUGUGGGUGAAACGUGGGUUCAACUCCCGCCUGAUGCC
Parelaphostrongylus tenuis is the source of this 83-nucleotide non-coding RNA. Lineage: Eukaryota; Metazoa; Nematoda; Chromadorea; Rhabditida; Metastrongylidae. The record is from the annotation of a GenBank genome assembly.